Molecule: ribosomal RNA, 253 nt
Filed under: uncultured bacterium
Lineage: Bacteria
Description: partial 16S ribosomal RNA
Rfam family: Bacterial small subunit ribosomal RNA
Source: RNAcentral
UACGAAGGGGGCUAGCGUUGCUCGGAAUCACUGGGCGUGAAGCGCACGUAGGCGGACUCUUAAGUCAGGGGUGAAAUCCUGGAGCUCAACUCCAGAACUGCCUUUGAUACUGAGAGCCUUGAGUCCGGAAGAGGUAAGUGGAACUGCGAGUGUAGAGGUGAAAUUCGUAGAUAUUCGCAAGAACACCAGUGGCGAAGGCGGCUUACUGGUCCGGUACUGACGCUGAGGUGCGAAAGCGUGGGGAGCAAACAGG